GGGGGAGCCAGCCUGCUGGCGAUGGCGCCGUGUGAGUCGAAACCUUCAUGACUGACAGAUAGCAAUCGCCAGCAGGCUGGCUCCCAC
RNAcentral lists this unclassified non-coding RNA (87 nucleotides) under Pseudomonas mohnii. Lineage: Bacteria; Pseudomonadati; Pseudomonadota; Gammaproteobacteria; Pseudomonadales; Pseudomonadaceae. The record is from RNAcentral.